Molecule: ribosomal RNA, 693 nt
Filed under: uncultured Bacilli bacterium
Lineage: Bacteria; Bacillati; Bacillota; Bacilli
Description: bacterial SSU rRNA
Rfam family: Bacterial small subunit ribosomal RNA
Source: RNAcentral
CGCUUCUUUUUCCACCGGAGCUUGCUCCACCGGAAAAAGAGGAGUGGCGAACGGGUGAGUAACACGUGGGUAACCUGCCCAUCAGAAGGGGAUAACACUUGGAAACAGGUGCUAAUACCGUAUAACAAUCAAAACCGCAUGGUUUUGAUUUGAAAGGCGCUUUCGGGUGUCGCUGAUGGAUGGACCCGCGGUGCAUUAGCUAGUUGGUGAGGUAACGGCUCACCAAGGCCACGAUGCAUAGCCGACCUGAGAGGGUGAUCGGCCACAUUGGGACUGAGACACGGCCCAAACUCCUACGGGAGGCAGCAGUAGGGAAUCUUCGGCAAUGGACGAAAGUCUGACCGAGCAACGCCGCGUGAGUGAAGAAGGUUUUCGGAUCGUAAAACUCUGUUGUUAGAGAAGAACAAGGAUGAGAGUAACUGUUCAUCCCUUGACGGUAUCUAACCAGAAAGCCACGGCUAACUACGUGCCAGCAGCCGCGGUAAUACGUAGGUGGCAAGCGUUGUCCGGAUUUAUUGGGCGUAAAGCGAGCGCAGGCGGUUUCUUAAGUCUGAUGUGAAAGCCCCCGGCUCAACCGGGGAGGGUCAUUGGAAACUGGGAGACUUGAGUGCAGAAGAGGAGAGUGGAAUUCCAUGUGUAGCGGUGAAAUGCGUAGAUAUAUGGAGGAACACCAGUGGCGAAGGCGGCUCUCUG